GGGUGACAAGAAGACUUCCGAGCCCAAAGCCAUGCCAGACCUUAACGGGAUCCUUUCCCAGAGCCCUCCAUGGAGAAAACAGCAAAAUGAAGCCCUUACCUGCUUGCUGUCUGCAAGGGAGGGAGCCGAGCCCCAGCUGAUAAUCCCCCAGCACUCACCCUUCCUGAGCUGAGACUUCGGGGCUGUGGAGACCAGCACAGGACAUAGUGGUGCUUUUUAAAUUUAUUUUUAACUGUUUCUCAUAUGUAGCAACCCCUCCUCCCCUCCUGGGCAUGUUUACACAGGCUCUGCUCUGGGGGCUGGCCUGGCUGUGAGGUUUCUGGGGAGGCAGAGAGGCAGGGACUUUGGGGCCUUAGUCACCAUCCAUGGUAUCACCUCAUCUCACUUCCUGUGAGGGACAGGGCCUGGCUGAUGUGAUCCCAGCUCCCCCCAGUUCAGGACUGUCUUUCAGCUCCUUUGCCCCUGGAGGUGGGGGCUGCUGGCUGAGGAGGGGUCAAGGUGAGUUCAAGAAAGCUACCUGUGGAAAAUGGACCAGGUUGGGGGGGUGAUUGCAAAGUCUCCCCAAAGCCUGGCUCCUCAUGCUCAGUGCCAGGGGCAGAACACUGGGGAGCCAGGUAUAGAGAGCCUUCCUGUCAUAACUGCCAGUCCUCUUCCUCCAAGGCCUCUGCAUAUUCUCAUGUUCCCCUCACCCAUCAUGCCAGCCACCCCUAUCCCUCUUCUAGCAGGGCCAAGAUGGGGACAGCAGCAGCCCUCUGGCCUUGGGAUGUGAUGAUAAAGCAAGCCUAGGGCCAGGGUUUGGGGAGCAGAGAGAGCCAAGAAGUUGACCACGUGUGAUUUCCAGCCCUUCCCACUGGGACUUGACUUCCCAGGUCAAGGAGUCCGUCUCAUUCUGGCUGGUCGAGUGACCAGAGGCCUGUGUGAAUGUGUGCACCUGCUUUUCCUGCCUGGAAUGUUUUCUGGCUCAGCUGCAGCAACAUCUGUGAGCCCAGUGUCUGCCCUGUGUCCCUGGGCUCGCUCCAAGUGCAGGAACAUACAUGCAGGGCCCAACAUGAUGAUGGUGUGAAGGGCAGGAAACAGUCCUCUGAAGGAGUGGGGAGGUGGGCAGUCUGCCCCCGCCAGGUACCAUCGCCUCCUGCCAGCUUCCUUAGACCAGGCAGGGCUGCCAUGGUGCUAGCUGCAAGUCCAUCAGUAUUGACCGUCUCGCUCCAUCUUGGUCCUCCGGAGUCCCAAGUUUCCUUUUCAUCAAAUCUGACAAGAGAGAAGAAACAUGGGUGUGCUUGGCCCACAGGGCCUGGUGGUGAUGGACCUCCCCGCUCCCUCAAGCUCUGGAUGGCUGCAGUGUUGUACUAGACUUUGUUCAGGCUGUUCUCAUCUCAGUAUUGCCCCUUCCUUUCACUUUCACACUUCAUCUCAUUCCUGUUGUCACUUUCCCCGAAACGAAUAAAGUCUCCCCAGCUCCUGCUGUGUAGGCUGGGCAGAAAC
Molecule: long non-coding RNA, 1482 nt
Filed under: Homo sapiens (human)
Lineage: Eukaryota; Metazoa; Chordata; Mammalia; Primates; Hominidae
Description: HSALNT0378063
Source: RNAcentral